AAAAGUAAGUAAGGGCACAUGGCGGAUGCCUUGGCUCUCGGAGGCGAUGAAGGACGUGAUAAGCUGCGAUAAGCUGCGGGUAGGUGCAAAUGACCUUUGAUCCGCGGAUUUCCGAAUGGGACAACCCGGUACCUUGAAGAGGUACCAUUCCACAAUGUGGAAGGCUAACGCAGGGAACUGAAACAUCUUAGUACCUGCAGGAAAAGAAAAUAAACAAUGAUUCCCCCAGUAGUGGCGAGCGAACGGGGAACAGCCCAAACCACCCAUGUUACGGCAUGUGUGGGGUUGUAGGACCACGUCGUGGCAAGAAAGUUGGUGAGCAGAAUGUUCUGGAAAGUACAGCCAUAGAGCAUGACAGCUGCGUAUGCGAAGCCAAGCGAAGCCUAGUGGUAUCCUGAGUAGCGCGGAGCACGAGGAAUUCUGCGUGAAUCUGCCGGGACCAUCCGGUAAGGCUAAAUACUCCCGAGAGACCGAUAGUGAACCAGUACUGUGAAGGAAAGGUGAAAAGCACUUCGAACAGAAGAGUGAAAUAGUUCCUGAAACCAUGUGCCUACAAGCGGUCGGAGCACCUUCUGGUGUGACGGCGUGCCUUUUGCAUAAUGAACCUACGAGUUACUUUUUCCGGCGAGGUUAAGGAUUUCAGAUCUGCAGCCGAAGCGAAAGCGAGUCUGAACAGGGCGUAUAGUCGGAAGGAGUAGACGCGAAACCAAGUGAUCUACCCUUGGGCAGGUUGAAGGAUGGGUAACACCAUCUGGAGGACCGAACCAAUAAGCGUUGAAAAGCUUCUGGAUGACCUGAGGGUGGGGGUGAAAGGCUAAUCAAACUUGGAGAUAGCUCGUACUCCCCGAAAUGCAUUUAGGUGCAGCCUUGACUUAUACUGGCAUGAGGUAGAGCGACUGAUAAGAUGCGAGGGCUUCACCGCCUAUCAAGUCUUGACAAACUCCGAAUGCGUGUCAGUUCUAUGUCAGGAGUGAGGGCAUGGGUGCUAAGGUCCAUGUCCUAAAGGAGAACAAUCCGGACCAACAGCUAAGGUCCCGAAAUGAAUACUAAGUUGAACUAACGAAGUCAGAUUGCUAAGACAGCUAGGAUGUUGGCUUGGAAGCAGCCAUUCAUUUAAAGAGUGCGUAACAGCUCACUAGUCGAGGAGUUUGGCGUGGAUAAUAAUCGGGCAUAAGUAUUCUACCGAAGCUUUGGGAUGAGAAAUCAUCGGUAGGGGAGCAUUCCACUCGGCGUCGAAGGUGAAGCGCGAGCUUUGCUGGAGCGUGUGGAAAAGCAAAUGUAGGUAUAAGUAACGAUAAAGGGGGUGGGAAACCCCCUCGCCGAAAGACUAAGGUUUCCUGAUCAACGCUAAUCGGAUCAGGGUAAGUCGGGUCCUAAGGCUCAGCCGAACGGCGAGGCCGAUGGCAGAACCGGUUAAUAUUCCGGUACUACCUGUGGGAGUGACGUGGAGACGGAGUCGUGACAGCGCCGCGGACUGACGGAAUAGUCCGUUGAAGGGUGUAGAUGCUGAUUGUUCCAGGCAAAUCCGGAGCAAGAGUCGAACCUGACAGUAUGGAGCGUUCUUAGAACAAUCCAAUAGUGCGUGUAAUCAUACUUCCAAGAAAAUCCGCUAAACUUAAUCCUGCAGGUACCCGUACCGCAAACGGACACACGUAGUCGGGUUGAAUAUACUAAGGCGCUUGAGUGAUUCACGGUUAAGGAACUAGGCAAACUGACCCUGUAACUUCGGGAUAAAGGGUCCUCGCUUAACGGCGAGGCGCAGAGAAUAGGUCCAGGCAACUGUUUAACAAAAACACAGGGCUGUGCAAAAUUGAAAGAUGAAGUAUACAGCCUGACACCUGCCCGGUGCUGGAAGGUUAAGAGGAGAUGUCAUCGCAAGAGAAGCAUUGAAUUGAAGCCCCAGUAAACGGCGGCCGUAACUAUAACGGUCCUAAGGUAGCGAAAUUCCUUGUCGGGUAAGUUCCGACCUGCACGAAUGGUGUAAUGAUCCGGACGCUGUCUCAACCAUGAGCUCAGUGAAAUUGUAGUAUCGGUGAAGAUGCCGAUUACCCGCGAUGGGACGAAAAGACCCCGUGAACCUUUACUAUAGCUUAACAUUGAAUUUGGGUAAUUGAUGUGUAGGAUAGGCCGGAGGCUUUGAAGCGGGCACGCCAGUGUCCGUGGAGCCGCUGUUGAAAUACGGCCCUUUGAUUAUUUGAGUUCUAACCCGUUGUUGCGGGGACACUGUUUGGUGGGUAGUUUGACUGGGGUGGUCGCCUCCAAAAGUGUAACGGAGGCUUCUAAAGGUGCCCUCACGACGAUUGGUAACCGUCGGCAGAGUGUAAUGGCAUAAGGGCGCUUGACUGGGAGACUUACAAGUCGAUCAGGUAGGAAACUAGAGCAUAGUGAUCCGGUGUUUCUGUAUGGAAAGGACAUCGCUCAAAGGAUAAAAGGUACUCCGGGGAUAACAGGCUGAUCCCUCCCAAGAGCUCAUAUCGACGGAGGGGUUUGGCACCUCGAUGUCGGCUCGUCACAUCCUGGGGCUGGAGAAGGUCCCAAG
Molecule: ribosomal RNA, 2539 nt
Filed under: human gut metagenome
Description: bacterial LSU rRNA
Rfam family: Bacterial large subunit ribosomal RNA
Source: RNAcentral